Molecule: ribosomal RNA, 748 nt
Filed under: Bordetella trematum
Lineage: Bacteria; Pseudomonadati; Pseudomonadota; Betaproteobacteria; Burkholderiales; Alcaligenaceae
Description: bacterial SSU rRNA
Rfam family: Bacterial small subunit ribosomal RNA
Source: RNAcentral
UGCUUUACACAUGCAAGUCGGACGGCAGCACGGACUUCGGUCUGGUGGCGAGUGGCGAACGGGUGAGUAAUGUAUCGGAACGUGCCCAGUAGCGGGGGAUAACUACGCGAAAGCGUGGCUAAUACCGCAUACGCCCUACGGGGGAAAGCGGGGGACCUUCGGGCCUCGCACUAUUGGAGCGGCCGAUAUCGGAUUAGCUAGUUGGUGGGGUAACGGCUCACCAAGGCAACGAUCCGUAGCUGGUUUGAGAGGACGACCAGCCACACUGGGACUGAGACACGGCCCAGACUCCUACGGGAGGCAGCAGUGGGGAAUUUUGGACAAUGGGGGCAACCCUGAUCCAGCCAUCCCGCGUGUGCGAUGAAGGCCUUCGGGUUGUAAAGCACUUUUGGCAGGAAAGAAACGGCGCCGGCUAAUACCUGGCGCUAAUGACGGUACCUGCAGAAUAAGCACCGGCUAACUACGUGCCAGCAGCCGCGGUAAUACGUAGGGUGCAAGCGUUAAUCGGAAUUACUGGGCGUAAAGCGUGCGCAGGCGGUUCGGAAAGAAAGAUGUGAAAUCCCAGAGCUUAACUUUGGAACUGCAUUUUUAACUACCGGGCUAGAGUGUGUCAGAGGGAGGUGGAAUUCCGCGUGUAGCAGUGAAAUGCGUAGAUAUGCGGAGGAACACCGAUGGCGAAGGCAGCCUCCUGGGAUAACACUGACGCUCAUGCACGAAAGCGUGGGGAGCAAACAGGAUUAGAUACCCU